This 465-nucleotide ribosomal RNA is filed under the name Vreelandella stevensii. RNAcentral describes it as "partial 16S ribosomal RNA". It matches the Rfam family "Bacterial small subunit ribosomal RNA", at positions 338 to 795 of the family's 1533-position model. Lineage: Bacteria; Pseudomonadati; Pseudomonadota; Gammaproteobacteria; Oceanospirillales; Halomonadaceae. The record is from RNAcentral.
CCUACGGGCGGCAGCAGUGGGGAAUAUUGGACAAUGGGGGGAACCCUGAUCCAGCCAUGCCGCGUGUGUGAAGAAGGCCCUCGGGUUGUAAAGCACUUUCAGUGAGGAAGAACGCCUGGUGGUUAAUACCCAUCAGGAAAGACAUCACUCACAGAAGAAGCACCGGCUAACUCCGUGCCAGCAGCCGCGGUAAUACGGAGGGUGCGAGCGUUAAUCGGAAUUACUGGGCGUAAAGCGCGCGUAGGUGGCUUGAUAAGCCGGUUGUGAAAGCCCCGGGCUCAACCUGGGAACGGCAUCCGGAACUGUCAAGUUAGAGUGCAGGAGAGGAAGGUAGAAUUCCCGGUGUAGCGGUGAAAUGCGUAGAGAUCGGGAGGAAUACCAGUGGCGAAGGCGGCCUUCUGGACUGACACUGACACCGAGGUGCGAAAGCGUGGGUAGCAAACAGGAUUAGAUACCCGUGUAGUC